RNAcentral lists this ribosomal RNA (369 nucleotides) under uncultured beta proteobacterium. RNAcentral's name for it is "bacterial SSU rRNA". It matches the Rfam family "Bacterial small subunit ribosomal RNA", at positions 527 to 896 of the family's 1533-position model. The record is from RNAcentral. Lineage: Bacteria; Pseudomonadati; Pseudomonadota; Betaproteobacteria.
GUAGGGUGCGAGCGUUAAUCGGAAUUACUGGGCGUAAAGCGUGCGCAGGCGGUUGUGCAAGACAGGCGUGAAAUCCCCGGGCUUAACCUGGGAAUGGCGCUUGUGACUGCACGACUGGAGUGCGGCAGAGGGGGAUGGAAUUCCGCGUGUAGCAGUGAAAUGCGUAGAUAUGCGGAGGAACACCGAUGGCGAAGGCAGUCCCCUGGGCCUGCACUGACGCUCAUGCACGAAAGCGUGGGGAGCAAACAGGAUUAGAUACCCUGGUAGUCCACGCCCUAAACGAUGUCGACUGGUUGUUGGGCCUUGAGUGGCUCAGUAACGAAGCUAACGCGUGAAGUCGACCGCCUGGGGAGUACGGCCGCAAGGUUG